UUAACAGCACGGGAAGCUGGCUCUUCUCCUUGGCCAGAGAACGGGUCUUGCCUGCAUUAGUGACAGCUUCCCAACAUACCCUGCCAAUGUGCAUCAGCGGGGAGGGACCACCUCUCAGGGUGAGGCGGUAGUUUGGUCUCCGUGGCCCAUUUGGUGCUUUGAUCCU
This 166-nucleotide small RNA is filed under the name Chelonoidis abingdonii (Abingdon island giant tortoise). Its description in RNAcentral is "TUC338 (ENSCABG00000001887.1)". Lineage: Eukaryota; Metazoa; Chordata; Testudines; Testudinidae. The record is from RNAcentral.